GCACUGCUGAGCAGUCCCACACUAGGACUAAACGCUCGUCCAGUGC
Non-coding RNA from Schistosoma haematobium, 46 nucleotides. The record is from Rfam. NCBI's taxonomy places the organism in Eukaryota, Metazoa, Platyhelminthes, Trematoda, Strigeidida, Schistosomatidae.